Molecule: ribosomal RNA, 256 nt
Filed under: uncultured bacterium
Lineage: Bacteria
Description: partial 16S ribosomal RNA
Rfam family: Bacterial small subunit ribosomal RNA
Source: RNAcentral
UACAGAGGUCUCAAGCGUUGUUCGGAUUCAUUGGGCGUAAAGGGUGCGUAGGCGGCGCGGUAAGUCGGGUGUGAAAUCUCGGGGCUUAACUCCGAAACUGCAUUCGAUACUGCCGUGCUUGAGGACUGGAGAGGAGACUGGAAUUUACGGUGUAGCGGUGAAAUGCGUAGAUAUCGUAAGGAAGACCAGUGGCGAAGGCGGGUCUCUGGACAGUUCCUGACGCUGAGGCACGAAGGCCAGGGGGGAGCAAAACGGG